UACGAAGGGAGCUAGCGUUGUUCGGAAUCACUGGGCGUAAAGCGCACGUAGGCGGAUUUGCAAGUCGGGGGUGAAAUCCCGGGGCUCAACCUCGGAACUGCCUUCGAUACUGUAAGUCUCGAGUCCGGAAGAGGUGGGUGGAAUUCCUAGUGUAGAGGUGAAAUUCGUAGAUAUUAGGAAGAACACCAGUGGCGAAGGCGGCCCACUGGUCCGGUACUGACGCUGAGGAGCGAAAGCCAGGGGAGCAAACGGG
This 253-nucleotide ribosomal RNA is filed under the name uncultured bacterium. RNAcentral describes it as "partial 16S ribosomal RNA". It matches the Rfam family "Bacterial small subunit ribosomal RNA", at positions 524 to 776 of the family's 1533-position model. The record is from RNAcentral.